AAAAAAAGUAAAGUAUGUGGACUUGCACCGAAUAGAGCCAUGGAUAUGUCAAACUGUUCAACUUUAAGGACUACAAAUUGUCAUACAUGUAUUGUCGUAGCGUUUUUGUUGUAAGGACUAAGAACGACCCAACUUUAAGGACUACAAAUGGUUAUUUUGCUCUACUUUAAACAUUGUGAACUUUUCAUUGAUGAAAUUUGCAUACCUUGGACA
Long non-coding RNA from Cucumis sativus (cucumber), 213 nucleotides. RefSeq lists it as uncharacterized. Lineage: Eukaryota; Viridiplantae; Streptophyta; Magnoliopsida; Cucurbitales; Cucurbitaceae. The transcript is spliced from 2 exons. The record is from RefSeq and is a predicted model, not a curated record.